This 175-nucleotide long non-coding RNA is filed under the name Cyanistes caeruleus (blue tit). Its description in RNAcentral is "lncRNA (ENSCCEG00000001351.1)". The record is from RNAcentral. Lineage: Eukaryota; Metazoa; Chordata; Aves; Passeriformes; Paridae.
CUGAUGAAAAGUGCUAAAAUACUCUGUUAAGUACUGGACCCUGUUAAAGCUUUCUGCACUGAGUAUGUGUUUUGGAAACAAGCCAGCCUGAUCCUACAAAUCCUGUUUUUCUGUGUGAUUUGUUUUACAAGAGCACUCACAUGAGAUAUGGUGCAGGGAGGAAGGCGGGGGGGUC